AUGUGAGUCAUUGUAGCAAUACAAGGCAGACGGCUCAGUAACACGUAGUCAAUCUACCCUAUGGACGGGGAUAACCUCGGGAAACUGAGGAUAACACCCGAUAGAUCAUAAUUCCUGGAAUGGUUUAUGGUCCAAACGAUUCGUCGCCAUAGGAUGGGACUGCGGCCUAUCAGCUUGUUGGUGAGGUAAUGGCCCACCAAGGCUAUUACAGGUACGGGCUCUGAGAGGAGAAGCCCGGAGAUGGGUACUGAGACACGGACCCAGGCCCUAUGGGGCGCAGCAGGCGAGAAACCUUUGCAAUGUGCGCAAGCACGACAAGGUUAAUCCGAGUGUUUCCUGCUUAAGGAAUCUUUUGUUAGUUGUAAAACCACUAUCGAAUAAGGGGUGGGCAAGUUCUGGUGUCAGCCGCCGCGGUAAAACCAGCACCUCAAGUGGUCAGGAGGAUUAUUGGGCCUAAAGCAUCCGUAGCCUGUUCUAUAAGUUUCCGGUUAAAUCCACUAGCUCAACUAGUGGGCUGCCGAAAAUACUGUAGAACUAGGGAGUGGGAGAGGUAGACGGUAUUCGGUAGGAAGGGGUAAAAUCCUUUGAUCUAUUGAGGACCACCUGUGGCGAAGGCGGUCUACCAGAACACGUUCGACGGUGAGGGAUGAAAGCUGGGGGAGCAACCGGAUUAGAUACCCGGGUAGUCCCAGCUGUAAACGAUGCAGACUCGGUGAUGCGCUGGCUUGUGGCCAGUGCAGUGCCGCAGGGAAGCCGUUAAGUUUGCCGCCUGGGAAGUA
This 779-nucleotide ribosomal RNA is filed under the name uncultured archaeon. RNAcentral's name for it is "bacterial SSU rRNA". It matches the Rfam family "Archaeal small subunit ribosomal RNA", at positions 51 to 837 of the family's 1478-position model. The record is from RNAcentral.